Molecule: long non-coding RNA, 263 nt
Organism: Aethalodelphis obliquidens (Pacific white-sided dolphin)
Lineage: Eukaryota; Metazoa; Chordata; Mammalia; Artiodactyla; Delphinidae
Exons: 3
Source: RefSeq, a predicted model, not a curated record
CAGCAACUAGAGAAAGCCCAAGUGCAGCAACAAAGACCCAACGCAGCCAAAAAAAAAAAAAAACUAAGAGACACAACAUUCAGAGCAAUUGGAGGAGAAGAAGAAUGGAUAAUGGAUGGUGGCUGGUGGAAGAGGAGGUAUUCAUUCUUUGGAAGUACUCUUGGGACAGUCUCCUUUUAUUUUCUUCAGCUCCCUGAAGUGUUGGUAUUAAGAAUCAGAAGUGGGCUUCCCUGGUGGCACAGUGAUUGAGAGUCUGCCUGCCG